RNAcentral lists this ribosomal RNA (200 nucleotides) under uncultured bacterium. RNAcentral describes it as "partial 16S ribosomal RNA". It matches the Rfam family "Bacterial small subunit ribosomal RNA", at positions 326 to 539 of the family's 1533-position model. The record is from RNAcentral.
ACGCUCGACACCUACGGGAUGCAGCAGUUGGGAAUAUUGGACAAUGGAGGAAACUCUGAUCCAGUGACGCCGCGUGAAGGAAGAAGGUCUUCGGAUUGUAAACUUAUUUUGUCAGGGAAGAAAAAAUGACUGUACCUGAAGAAAAAGCACCGGCUAACUACGUGCCAGCAGCCGCGGUAAUCUGAGCGGGCUGGCAAGGC